CGACGGGUGAGUAAUGUCUGGGAAACUGCCUGAUGGAGGGGGAUAACUACUGGAAACGGUAGCUAAUACCGCAUAACGUCGCAAGACCAAAGAGGGGGACCUUCGGGCCUCUUGCCAUCGGAUGUGCCCAGAUGGGAUUAGCUAGUAGGUGGGGUAAUGGCUCACCUAGGCGACGAUCCCUAGCUGGUCUGAGAGGAUGACCAGCCACACUGGAACUGAGACACGGUCCAG
RNAcentral lists this ribosomal RNA (231 nucleotides) under uncultured bacterium. Its description in RNAcentral is "partial 16S ribosomal RNA". It matches the Rfam family "Bacterial small subunit ribosomal RNA", at positions 102 to 334 of the family's 1533-position model. The record is from RNAcentral.